CACUUAUCCAGAGAGGUGGAGGGACUGGCCCGAUGAAGCCCGGCAACCUGCGAUAUGCAAGGUGCUACUUCCUGCAAAAUGAUUCUAUUUUGAAAGAUAAGGA
This is a non-coding RNA of Bacillus pumilus SAFR-032, 103 nucleotides long. Lineage: Bacteria; Bacillati; Bacillota; Bacilli; Caryophanales; Bacillaceae. The record is from Rfam.